Non-coding RNA from Heterocephalus glaber (naked mole-rat), 2178 nucleotides. The record is from RefSeq and is a predicted model, not a curated record. NCBI's taxonomy places the organism in Eukaryota, Metazoa, Chordata, Mammalia, Rodentia, Bathyergidae.
GCUCUGCGAAGCCCCUGGAUCCAGUUGCCAGCAUCACAGGAAAAAAUGCUUUCGGCUAGAAAGGCUCCUUAAUCCAAGGCGCCAGCUUCGCAGGAGCCCCGUGCCUGGGAUGGGCCAUGGGAGGCCCUUCCUUGCGUCAACACCAGAUGGUGCAGAAGGCAAGGCCUCCUGCACACAGCUGACUGUGGGAGCUGCAGCCAGUUCCCUCUGGUCUCACUUGGUGCAGAUUUGUGGCUUCCCUGACAAGGCUUGGCCUGAAUGCAUGAUUCUCCUCUCUCCAGAUCUUAAUUUUCCAGACAGUCCUCACUCCCAGCCCUCCUGCAGCUUGGCUCAGGUUGCCACUCUGCCUCUGGCCAUCCAUCAGCGGGAAGAAUCGCAGUGCAGUGGUCACCCCAAAGACUCUGAAUCUGCUCUGCUGCUCCUCGCUGUCAUACAUCACUGGGAAGGACGAGAGGUGGACGUGAUGGGCGAGCUGAUGGCUGACCAGCACGAAAUAUUCUCACAUUGAGCAGAGGAGCCAGAGAAGAGCUACUCCAAGGAUCACUAUGGCCCGGACUUCAGUGGGCAAAGCCAUUCUGACAGUGAGCUUGAAUGUUGGAACACGAGGACUACCACAGGGUCUCAAGGUCAGGGCGCCCCUCUGAAGAGCAGAUCAAGGCCACUCGCAUCUGCUGUGCACUUUGUGCUGAUAGGACACGGCUUCUGAAGAAGGUUUUCUUGGCUAGAAAAGCCCAAGGUUGUCUUUUGCUGCCUUCUGAGGAGACAAAGGAAAGUGCUGCCUCCAAGUGGCAACAAUGGCUUUUAGGGGCUGUACUCUAUUCCUUCCGGGCUGCAUAGGCCUGUCUUUUCUGGGCUCCAUCCUGCCUCAACUGCCCUGGACCCACUCUGAGCACAGUUCUUAAGGACAAGGGUCCCUCUCUGAGGAGCCAUCCCUGUCUCUGCAUGUCGUACAGAAGCCGAGGCCGCGAUCAAAGGCAGAGUCAGCGGCUGCGGUUAGCCUGGCCCUGUGCUCUUCUCCACUGUUUCCCACUUCCCGCCCCACUGGUUAGAAGAUGCCACUUUCCACAGACUCUGGGAACAAUGUAAAGGCAAAAGUGGACGCUCGGAUGCUUGAAGAUGAGCCUGGUUUCCAGAACCGUCGCGUUUGGGGCUGUCAUGAUAGAUAGGUAGAUUUUAUUUAUGACUGGUGAUUGAACUCAGGGCCUUCACACUGAGCUACGUCUCCAGCCCCUCCCCCCUUUAAAAAUUUUGAUAUGAAUUCCCACUAAAUUGCUAAGUUGCCCAAGCUGAGCUCCGACAUGUGAUCUUCUCACCUCAGUCUCCCAGAGUGGUGUGUGCCAUUCAGUUUUGAAAGUUGUAAAUUCAAAUCUGACAUAUAAAGUAGGGGAACUUCUGCAUAAAAGCUUUGGUACUGCUUUCUAAAGGCCCAAGAGCCAGUAAGCCUGGGCUUGCUUUUCCACCAAGCUGUGGUCAGCUGGGUGGGCCAGUGGCUGGCUGCCCUUCUUGGCAGAAUCUACCUCCCCUCCUCUCUCCCUCCUGACCCACAACCGAGGCCUGGGUGAGCUGCCAGUCACAGCCCCUGUCCUUUUGCAGUUGGGCUCUACGGGCCGAGCCUGCAUCACUCAGACUCAUUACCUACACUGCAUCCUUUGCUGCUGAGAGCUUGAAGCCUCUGAGCCAGCCCCGGAGCAGGAUGGGAGGGGUGUGGCUUGCAUCCCAUCUCUAUGAAGCAGGCCACCUCUCCCCUGAUGUGGGCUGAUGCUCCCUGCCAGUCUGGCUCUCUGCUCUCCCCUGGAUGCUGCCCUGGUCCAGCUCGCUGCUGAGUGAGAUUCCACCUCGCCAGCCUGCUUCUCUUGUUGACAUUUUAAUUAAAGUCUCUUCAUGGAUAUUUAUUCAAAGGGAGUCGGUGAGGAAUAAUUGAGCACUAACAGUAUUUGUUUAGGUAGAAUUAAUUUCUGCCAUAAAAUUAACGUGUGCUGGUAACUUGGGCAAAAACUAGCAGCAAAUAAUAUCUUCAGGUUUUAAAGAAAUAGGAGUAUUUUUAAGAAAAGUUCAGUGUGGGAUGUAGAACCACUGACCGGGUGAAAUAUGGGCCUGUGUCCUUGCUGACGGUACCUGUGGGGGGGCUUCCCCCCCCCCCCCCCCCCCCCCGCUAGAACUCUUGAGUGCCUUUUACGG